CACAUAAAUACACACUUCCUAAUUGGGUCAGAUUGCAGACACCUGUCCGCAAUCAGACCCCAUCACCCCAGCAGACCCGGUGCUCCAUACUCCCCCUGCAGGCCAGACGCCUCCCCACCUCCACAAUUAGGCUAUCAUUGAAUUCUCCAACCUGUCAAAUCCUACUUCACAUCUUCUCGGACAUUUUCUGUUUCAGAGCGGGACGGCUAGCUUCACCAGUGAGUCCUCAGUUCAUGGACCUAUUUUAAAAGCCUUAUAUUUUAUCAAGGGAUAAUUAAAGAGACAAGGGCCCUUAAUGGGGGUGCGGGCAGCCAAUGAAGCUCAGUUCACUGGCCUCCGCAACUUAUGGGAUGGUAUUGAUUGAUUUUGAGUGCUUGUAGUUUUUGGGGACUGUUCAAGUCACGUUUCAGUAGUCUUCAUUUUGUUAUGAAUAAUAUGUUAUGUUAUUAAAGUGGCAGUGUGGCUUUGCUUUACCCAGGGACUUUAUUUCUACUUCUGGCCUGGGGAUUACCAAACAGCCCAAAAAGAAGUGGAAUAAUUUAAGGGGCAGAUACAAAGUAAGAAUAAGUGUUUAUCUGCUUUGUAUUAUAUACUUAUAGAGCUUUCCAGGGAUUCCUUCAAAAUUUACCUUUAAAUAGAGUUUUAAAUAAAGUGUACUUAAGUGUGAUUACGUGAGAAUAAUUUGACAGUGCAGUAUUGAAUACCAGGAGCUUAGGGACCUGCCCACCGGCAGAAGGGUAGGGGCUGGUACAGCUACUGCUGCCUGGCAGUGAUAUGGUGCAAUGGAUGCUGCCUUCCAGGGGCAGCACUUCAGUCCCCCCGGUUUUUGCAAACAUGACUGCCACUACAGGUGGAGUAGUAAGCACACCGGCUUCUACCUCCUACCUCUGGCUUCUACACCGGCUUCUAAGCCAAGAGAAGUAGCAGCAGAAAGAGACCUAGGGGCAGUCUGCUGGAGCUUUUGAGGGAGCAGGGAGAAUGGGAAGAGGAGAGAGAGAGAGAGGCAGAGAGAGAGAGAGGCAGUGGCGAGAGAGGAGAGGGAGAGGGCGGCAGCAAUAAGGGCUGAACGGUACCUGUCCCUGUUUGAGCAAUUGAUUGAUUUUUUUUUAAUAAAUCUAGUUCAUCCGCUACUUCAUAGCAACAGUGUAUUUCUAUAUUUUUGCAUUUCACAAGUAUACUGGAGUGUUACACAAGGACUUCAGGAGGUAAGAGUUUCAAGAAGAAAAUCGCUGCUUUAUUAAGCAUAACAUUGCAACCAAAAAACAUAAACAACUUAUUUACACAUCAAAACUGGAGUUAACAUUACUGAACCGAUUGAGCAAGUAAACUACAUACAAAGGAGAAUAUAACAUUUGUCAUUACAAAUAUGGACAUUAAUUUACAAAGCAAGGAAUAAAUACAAGGUGUGUGUGUGCAUGUUCGUGUGUGUGUGUGUGUGUGUGUGUGUGUGUGUGUGUGUGUGUGUGUGUGUUUGUUCAUGUUCUCCCAGGCAAAUGUCCAUUCCUGCAGGAGCAGAAACCUGGGCAGCAAGCCUCGCAAACAGAGACCGGAUCUCCAGAUACUGCAGGAAGAUGGCCCACCAGUGGGUUUUGAGGAUCCUGAACGACCUCUCCACAAUGUUACGCCCUCUGGCAUUGUGCCUGUUGUAGCCUCAACAUGACCUGAACAGGUGUAUGCUGAUCAUCCCCCACAUGAAGAAGCCAACACAGAGUGCGGUUAUUUAAAUUGUGUACAACCCGAACAUGGUUUUGACAAACGACUGGAUUGAAUCUGACCUUACUGCCACAUCGGGGGCCCGACAGUGAGCCGGUUACAGAUUUGGGUAUUGGAGCAGGUGGAUGGCCCGGAAGGAAGGUCCGUUCAGACUGUUGGGGGUGCGCGUACAACUGUCCGAGUCAACAAUGCCAUACAUGCCUGUAUGCCAUCUCAGUAUCAUUACGAAACCCAUUACGAUGAUAUGUGUUGUGUUGGGUAGAUAUCCCUUCCAGAUACUUUUAGAAACUAUUUAAAAAAACACAACGGGUCUAUCGAUUGGCACCUGAAAAAAUCAUAAGUGUAUCUGAAUCUAUGCUAUGUGAUCUGCUGUCCGAAACCUAUGUUAUGGAUAAAUUGGACGAGAUAGGCAGAAAAUAUGUGGCCCCUGAACACCAGAGUGAGAUAAUUGAAGCAACGCGGUUGUGGCAUCGUACAUUGGAGUGGCAUCGUGCGUUGUAGGUUACAUACCGUAAUUUAUAAUGGGUAAUUUGAUUUAUUUUGCUUAUGAUGUGUUUAGUGAUUCUGUAUCAAAUAGGCUUGCUGUUUUGAUUCAUAGUAUGGUAGCAAAUGAUGCUUUUAUCAAUCAUAAUACUUUUAUCAGACGUGUGUAUAAGGAUUGUACGGAACCCGUAAAGGGUCAUGAAAAAAAAAAGAAAAGUAUCCCGUGAGCACGAGAAAGUAUCUCGUGCGCACGAGAAAGUAUCUCGUGCGCACGAGAAAGUAUGUUGUGCGCACGAGAAAGAAUCGUAGGCCUACUCAUAUCACUGGCAGUGUGUGUGUGUGUGUGUGUGUGUGUGUGUGUGUGUGUGUGUGUGAGAGCUACCUGCGAUAAGAAAGUAGUGUAUCAAAUAGAGGAAAUCUGAAUGGGUAUUUUAAAUAUUCCAGUUAAUCCUUCCAGUUGCGUUUAACCCAGUAGUUCAUAUGAGGAACAAUUGUCUACAAAUCCAUUUAUCUUCCAGACAUCGAACAAGAAUCCACAAAGACACAUUGCUUUAAAAGUAAAACCAGUUGUAGGUAUAUAAUUUAUUUAUUCACAAGUAUAUACUUAUAACUGCGACUGUUAAAAAGUGACACAUCACAUUAUCAACUGUAAGCAUAAAUAUCAUUUUUUGUUUAAUCUCUCUUGAAACUUGUUAAAUUAACCAACUGAAAACAGUUAUGGGUCAUUUUCAGCACCACUGUAUAGUACAUUCUCCAUAUUGCAUCAGGAUAUAAAAAUAUACUGAUAUUGUGAUCUUUUUUUCUUGAAAACAUUCUUUCCAUGUUGUUCAAUGGCAAAGAAACAAGAAGAAGAGGAAGAAAGGAUCUUGUGCUGCAAGUAAAAGUCCUCAUUGUCAGCAUGUUGUCUUCUAAUAUGUUCAUACACAAUAUGUCCAUUCAUUCAUGUAUUCACAGUACUGUUAAAACAUCAUUAGCAGUGGGAAAAAAAAGACUACAAAUAAAAAAACUAUAACAACAGAGUAUUAUGGUGUCUCUUAGACAGUGCAACACUCACAGUGCCACCGGCCUCCCGAGAGAGAGAGAGAGAGAGAGAGAGAGAGAGAGAGGGAGAGAGAGAGAGAGAGAGAGAGAGAGAGAGAGAGAGAGAGAGAGAGAGAGAGAGAGAGAGAGAGAGAGAGA
Molecule: long non-coding RNA, 3375 nt
Organism: Gadus morhua (Atlantic cod)
Lineage: Eukaryota; Metazoa; Chordata; Actinopteri; Gadiformes; Gadidae
Exons: 2
Source: RefSeq, a predicted model, not a curated record